UUAAUAAUCAAUAAUCUUGGCUUGUCCAUUAUUAUCUAUUUACUGUGAACUGUAUUAUUAUUUGACGUUUGAGGGAUGUUCCAAUGUUAUAAGGAUAGACAUUGGAAAUGUUAACCGAGUCAUAAUCAGGUUUAGGCCUGGUAUCCUAUUAUUAUUUACCAAAUGAAUUCAGAAUUAAUAUUGUAACAUAGACCUAAAAAAUCUAUAAAACAACUUUUAACAACGGAUCUCUUGGUUCUCGCAUCGAUGAAGAACGUAGCAAAGUGCGAUAACUAGUGUGAAUUGCAUAUUCAGUGAAUCAUCGAGUCUUUGAACGCAACUUGCGCUCAUUGGUAUUCCAAUGAGCACGCCUGUUUCAGUAUCAAAACAAACCCUCUAUUCAACUUUUGUUGUAUAGGAUUAUUGGGGGCCUCUCGAUCUGUAUAGAUCUUGAAACCCUUGAAAUUUACUAAGGCCUGAACUUGUUUAAUGCCUGAACUUUUUUUUAAUAUAAAGGAAAG
This 500-nucleotide unclassified non-coding RNA is filed under the name Mucor plumbeus. RNAcentral describes it as "sequence contains 18S rRNA gene, ITS1, 5.8S rRNA gene, ITS2". The stretch from base 212 to 364 matches the Rfam family "5.8S ribosomal RNA". Lineage: Eukaryota; Fungi; Mucoromycota; Mucoromycetes; Mucorales; Mucoraceae. The record is from RNAcentral.